UUUCCUACGGGGGGCAGCAGUGGGGAAUCUUGCACAAUGGGGGAAACCCUGAUGCAGCGACGCCGCGUGAAAGAAGAAGGAUUUCGGUAUGUAAACUUCUAUCAGCAGGGAAGAAAAUGACGGUACCUGACUAAGAAGCCCCGGCUAACUACGUGCCAGCAGCCGCGGUAAUAAGUAGGGGGCAAGCGUUAUCCGGAUUUACUGGGUGUAAAGGGAGCGUAGGCGGCGAUGCAAGUCAGAAGUGCAAGCCCGGGGCUCAACUCCGGGACUGCUUUUG
Molecule: ribosomal RNA, 277 nt
Filed under: uncultured bacterium
Lineage: Bacteria
Description: partial 16S ribosomal RNA
Rfam family: Bacterial small subunit ribosomal RNA
Source: RNAcentral